Molecule: long non-coding RNA, 715 nt
Filed under: Homo sapiens (human)
Lineage: Eukaryota; Metazoa; Chordata; Mammalia; Primates; Hominidae
Description: novel transcript
Source: RNAcentral
UAGACUGUCUCGAGGAUGCCUACGGAGCUGGCUGCACUUCAGAAUGUCAGUGUGUGGAGGAGAAUACCCUGGAAUGCAGUGCCAAAAAUGGUAGUUGCACCUGCAAAUCUGGUUACCAAGGCAACAGAUGCCAGAAAGAUGGCCUCUGGGGACCAGAGGGCUGGUUCUCCUCUGCACCCUGUGAAAAUGGAGGUCAGUGCAACAAAAAAACUGGAAAUUGUGACUGCACUCCUGAUUACACAAGAAAAUCCUGUACCAUAUUGAGAUGCAUUUCCCUUACCAAUCUGGCUCUCAGCAGGCGGUCCAGCCCGAUGAAGUAUCAGCAAAAUGUCAGCUCCCACAGAGAAGUGCGACAGAGGCAACAGUGCAGCAGUGACAGGCCUUUCAAAAAGCUAUUGUGCAAAUUCAGUUUUAAAAUAGGGAUGUAGUUGAGGACUGAUGGGUAUUUCAUUACCAAUGCGUUCAUCUCCCCCAUCGUCCAAGAGAAUGAGAGGGGGUCAUGGUGCAGCUGAUAUAAAGCCAUUAAGUUGAGUAGCGGUUGAUUUGGUCUGUAGAAGAUUUGUCUUCCUAUCUGUAUUUUUGAAAAGUUAAUAUUCAAAUUAGCUGUCAUUUUUAGUACAUACCUGCUAAAGGGGGGCCAAGAAUUGUUCUGUUUUCUACUUGAUCACCUUCCAGUGUCUCAAUUAGAUCAUUAAAAACAAAGUUAAUCAUGUCA